AGCAGCCGCGGUAAUUCCAGCUCCAAUAGCGUAUAUUAAAGUUGUUGCAGUUAAAAAGCUCGUAGUUGAAUUUCGGGAUCAAUAUAUCGGUCGUGCCUUGGUACGUACUGGUAUCAUUGGUCUCUCCUUUCUGACGAACCAUGAUGUCAUUAAUUUGGUGUUAUGGGAAGUUAGGACUGUUACUUUGAAAAAAUUAGAGUGUUUAAAGCAGGCUUUAGCUUGAAUACAUUAGCAUGGAAUAAUGAAAUAGGACGUUCGAACCUAUUUUGUUGGUUUCUAGGAUCAACGUAAUGAUUAAUAGGGAUAGUUGGGGGCAUUAGUAUUCAAUUGUCAGAGGUGAAAUUCUUGGAUUUAUUGAAGACUAACUACUGCGAAAGCAUUUGCCAAGGAUGUUUUCAUUAAUCAAGAACGAAAGUUAGGGGAUCGAAGACGAUCAGAUACCGUCGUAGUCUUAACCAUAAACUAUGCCGACUAGGGAUCGGAUGAUGUUAAUUUUUUAAUGACUCAUUCGGCGCCUUACG
RNAcentral lists this ribosomal RNA (521 nucleotides) under uncultured Glomeraceae. Its description in RNAcentral is "SSU rRNA". It matches the Rfam family "Eukaryotic small subunit ribosomal RNA", at positions 569 to 1092 of the family's 1831-position model. The record is from RNAcentral. Lineage: Eukaryota; Fungi; Glomeromycota; Glomeromycetes; Glomerales; Glomeraceae.